This 2165-nucleotide long non-coding RNA is filed under the name Marmota monax (woodchuck). Lineage: Eukaryota; Metazoa; Chordata; Mammalia; Rodentia; Sciuridae. The record is from RNAcentral.
GCUGGACUCCAUUAGCAUUCCACCCAGAGCCCUGCGCAGGGCCGCUGGCUGCAGGCAUUUCAAAUCUGCGGGUGCGAGAGUUGCUGGCCGCCCUCCCGAGGCAAUCUAGAUGUGGGUAGAUUGAAAUCCUCAACUGCUCCCCUCUGCUAACAAGAGAAGUAAAUCACCUUUGAGAAACCAAUUAUGGUCCUGUAAUAGCAUCGCAGGCGCCGAGCCCCAAGUCAAAUAAGCCCACGCGCAGCCUGUGCCAACUGAACUCACGUUGGAGCGCCCCCAACAGGCCGAGCGGGGCGCGGGCUCCCCUGCAGGCUGCUGAGUAGCACCUCAUGGAACUGGUUUGUUGAACCUUUUGAGCCAGGCUGCACCGACCUGCAAUGGCUUUAUUUUUCUUCAAAUGCCACCUCUCAGCCACACUCAGUUGAAUCUCUUGUUUCUCUCCCUUUCAGCCAACCCCAUGGCUUUCCAAUCACUGGCUCUUAUUAUAAAGUCCAGGCGGGUCCGAUUUAAAAUUCUGCUUUCAUAUGCAGUUUCCUGCUGGCGCGAUACUUGGAGAUGCUGCUCUGAAAGCUCAAGAGGUAAAUUCGGGGGUGUCCUGGCCCUCCACAAUGAGUCUCUGGUGGAGAAGCUCUGCCCAGAAACUUAUCGGCUGUGUUACUUGGUGGAGAUAACUCGGCUUCUCUGAGUCUCAACCCUUUCUUCUCUCAAGGAGGAAAACGUCAUUUAUUCUGUCUACCCGCCGGGGCUGUGGGGAAAGAGCAAGAUGGGCGUUUUAGUCAGCUUUUUCGUCCCUGUGAUCGAAAGAGCUGACAAGAACAAUUUUAGAGGAGGAGAAGUUUAUCUGGGGCUCACGGCGGUGUCAGAGGUCUCAGUCCAGAGACGGCCAGCUCCAUAGCUCUAGGCCCGGGGUGAGGCAGAACAUCAAGGUGAGGGAUGUGGACGGGGGAAAGCAGCUCAGGACAGGGCCACCAGGAAGCAGAGAGCUCAGGUCAACUAGGACAGAAUAUAUAUCCCAAAGGCCGUCCCCGGAGACCGCCUCCUGCAGGCACACUCUGCCUGCGCUCAGUCCCCACUCGGUUCACCCCUGGGGGCGGGGAUGAAGGCACUGACCAGGUCAAGGCUCUCGCAACCCAGUCCCUUCCUCUGAGCUUCCCUGCACGGUCUCACGCGCGAGCUUUCCGGGGUCACCUCUGAGAAACUUAAGUGACUCCAUUUUUGAGAAACGAGCUUCUACCUCAGAGCAGGGCCUGUCCAAAGGUGGGGCGUGACCCUCGUCCUUGGAAAAACCCACAGAGCACUCCUAGGCACACAGCCACCCUGCUGAGUUGUUUGUAAGUAACAGGAGAAGCUGCCAGGUUGUCCCCGACUCAGUUACACUAGGUGAGGACCCCCAGCAACCCCCUAGCAACCACCAAUCAGCACGAGACAGGGAAAAUAUCUGAAAUGCCAGGUGGCCCUCCCAGUAGUUUCGGUGAUUGAUAACAGGAUUAGGCAACUCUGCAAGUUUAGCAUAUAAACUCUUGCAACCCCUGGAAGCCUAAACCAAUCAGUUCAAACGUAUCCACCACUUGUACUAACCAAUCACCCUUACCUGACUUGUUCCCGCCAAUGAACGUGCUAAUCAAUGUUAAGAAUUGUGUUUGAUUUUCCCGCUGUGUGAAAUGAUUUGCAUGUAAUGUUGUGAGGCAUAGAGUUUCCCCCCCAAAACUAUAAUCCUCACUGAACUAAAGGACUGUGGCUCACUCCCUGGGACUGCUGCGUAGGAAACGGUCGUGAGUCCAGGCUUGAGCCUGCAAUAAAGACUCUUGUGUGAUUGCAUCGGAUUUGGCUCCUGGAGGUCUACUGGGGUCCCACGAAUCUGGCAUUACAGCCUCCAUCCACGCCAUGGCUGCUGGCAACAGGCUCUCCAAGUCUGUCUGCUGUCGUCAUCCCUGGCCUUCAGUUUGGUGGCCUCUGCGCAGUCCUCAGUGGACAUGCGCCCAAGCCUUGUGCUCCUUCUGUAAUGCUGGGUCCCCAACCUGGGGAACCCAUAGGCCAUGGGGGUGCACGUCCCCGGAGCAGGUGGCAUGGAAGCACCCCAGACUGGAGCACAGGGCUCCCUGGGGCAGGGACACUAAGCGGAAGCCAUAAAGCAUGAGCAAGAGCCAGGGGACUGAGAUGGAGGGAGC